This 238-nucleotide ribosomal RNA is filed under the name uncultured bacterium. RNAcentral's name for it is "partial 16S ribosomal RNA". It matches the Rfam family "Bacterial small subunit ribosomal RNA", at positions 96 to 334 of the family's 1533-position model. The record is from RNAcentral.
UGGCGGACGGGUGAGUAACGCGUGGGUAACCUGCCUCACACUGGGGGACAACAGUUAGAAAUGACUGCUAAUACCGCAUAAGCGCACAGGGCCGCAUGGUCCGGUGUGAAAAACUCCGGUGGUGUGAGAUGGACCCGCGUUUGAUUAGCUAGUUGGUGAGGUAACGGCCCACCAAGGCGACGAUCGGUAGCCGGACUGAGAGGUUGAACGGCCACAUUGGGACUGAGACACGGCCCAG